AGAAGAAAGAUCAAGAUCAGCUUGAAUUGUUUUUAGCUUUUCCUGCAGCUGUAAUUCUCUCUCCUUUCCUUUGCUUGUAACCUCUGUACAUCUGUGCUACUUUGUAAUUUUUCUCUUCUAAUAUUAAAUUCCGGCAGGAGAUCUGCCGUCGUUCUCCUCAAAAAAAAGAUCAAGAUAGAGAGAUAUAUCAUAAGAUAAUUGCAUCCUACGACAAUGGCGCACCUGACGAACGGCGCGGUGGACUCGCUGCUGGGUGUGUUGUCGAAGGUGGUGAAGGACGAGGCGAAGCUGCUGGGAGGCGUGGAGGGCGACAUCCAGUUCAUCAGGGACGAGAUGGACAGCAUGAACGGCUUCCUCCUCCACCUCACCAAGUCCAGGACGCCGCACAACGACCAGCUCCGCGCCUGGAUGAAGCAGGUCCGCGACGUCACCUACGUCGCCGACGACUGCAUCAGCCUCUACAUGCGCGACCUCAUCCCGCCGGAGGCCGGCCUCUGGCCGUGGCUCCGCCACAUCCCCAAGCGCCUCCGCACGAUUCCGGCCCGCCACCGCCUCGCCAACAAGAUCCACAAGCUCAAGGACCGCGUGCGCGAGGUCGGCGAGAGGCGCCUGCGCUACGACGUCAAGCUCCCAGAACUACGCAAUUCGGAGGAGUCGCUGUUGCCGGUCCUCCGAGACAGCAAGGCUGAGGAGAAGAAGGACGAAUUCCUACGUGCCAUUGAAGAUGUUUCAGCUGAAUCUUUCAGAGGAGUGAUCGAUAAGCUCCCUCAUAGUCUUGGACAUGAUGCUAUUGCUCGCAAACACCUAGAGGACAUCCUGAACAAAUGCGUCGUGAUCGAGGGGGAUCAUGUGGCCAUCAUGAAGAUGCUGCUUCGUGCUCUGUAUGCCUAUCCCUACGGUACCGUAGAAGAAUUGGAAGAUUUAUCCAAGAAGCUUGAACCUAAAGGAGCAGAUGUGGCCAAAUUGGUGAUGAUUUUCUGCUACAGCAAGCUGCCCACGCACUGCAAGAGCUGCCUGCAGUACCUGGUUACCAUGGGAGAGGAAGAUAAAAUCAGCAGGGCGUGCUUGGUCAGGCGAUGGGUCGCCGAGGGCCUCGUGCCCCUCAGGGUCGUCGAGCCGCCUCUUACAACCACCAUGGAAGAAGCCGGCGAAGUCUGCUUCAAGGAGCUCGUCUUUCGAGGCUUUCUUCUUCCUGCUCCUCCUCCUCCUCAAGAUGAUGGUGUAGCUGUUGGUACAUGCAGCUUGAAUCUCAAGAGCUGCGUCGUCGAUGAAGCAGUCAAGAAAUUCAUCCCCGACAUCUCCAAGAGCGAAAAUUUUGUGGUUGACCUGCCUACCCACCUUCAGCAUCAGCUCAAAAUCAGGCAUAUGGUUCGACAGACCUUUCCUGCAACUGCAUCAGCAGAAGAGAAACAACAACCGCUGCAGCAGCAGCAGCAGCCGCUGAAUCCCAUGGAUGGGAUGGUGAAGCUCCUCAAGGAGUUACCUGAAGAGUAUCGGCUGAACGUGAUAGAUCUAGGGGGCUGCCAGAGAUUGGAGAAGAGCCACCUCAAGAGUAUCUGCAAGGUGACCUCGCUCAAGUAUCUGAGCCUCCGGAACACCGACGUUUCCAGUCUGCCCAAGAAGAUGGAGGACCUGUGGCAGCUGGAGACGCUCGACAUCCGGGACACCGAAAACAUGCCGGCCACCGCCAUGAGGCGCAUCUACCUCCACAACCUGAAGCAUCUCCUUGCCGGCGACAACAUCAGCACCGACGGCGGUGGCGAAGGCAAGAAAAAUGAGUCAGGCUCCACCGUGCUGGUACCUCACAGGAUCGGGAAGAAGACGGAGACGUUGCGCCAUGUCCGGAUUAAGGACGGCCAAGCCGACCUUGCACGGAUUGGGUCUCUAGAGCAGCUGAGGAAGUUGGGAGUCGUCCUCGACGGCAGCCAAGGUAACAUCACUCAUUUGCUUGAAGCAAUCUCCAAGCGGAGAGAUACCCUGCGCUCACUGUCAGUCUGGAUCACGGAGCCACCGCCACCGCCGGCUGCGGAGCACAUGGCCGGCGACGACGUGUUCGUGACUAUGGAAGAAAUCCUAGCUCCCAGUAAACUUGAGAGCUUAGACCUCAACCUCAAGUGCUUCUUCAAGGGAGGAAAUGGCGGCGACAAGAGAGACUACAAGCUCCCUACAUGGAUCAACGAAAAGCUCCAAGCGCUUUCCAAGAUCACUCUACGUUACACCCUACUGCGCGACGACGGUCUGCGGAUCCUCGGCAAGCUGAAGAGCUUGCGCUGCCUCAGGCUGCUUCGCAAAUCAUACAUCGAAAGCGAGGUCACCCUCGAGGAGGGGGAGUUCGGGGAGCUGAGGCUCCUCCUGCUUGAUCAUGUCUCUGAUAAGACGGCCUUGUUGAUCAAAGCCCGUGCAGCUCCCAAGCUGGAGAAGAUUGUGUGGAACUUGAACAAGACGAAGACGUUGGUGACGAUCUCCCCCGACGACAUUGCUGGGAUCAAUAACACGGCCAUACUUCGCUUCAAGGCCGCCGAUGCAGCAGCUCCUACGAAGGAGAAGGUUGACUGGAACUGCAACAGCACGAGGAAGAUCACUCCGGACAUCAUCCGGGGUUCAAUCGAAUUCAAUCAAGUCCAAGAGGGAGCUCAAGAAUUCCUCAAGUAA
RNAcentral lists this long non-coding RNA (2652 nucleotides) under Oryza sativa aromatic subgroup. RNAcentral's name for it is "lncRNA OsARC_11g0021630". Lineage: Eukaryota; Viridiplantae; Streptophyta; Magnoliopsida; Poales; Poaceae. The record is from RNAcentral.